RNAcentral lists this ribosomal RNA (380 nucleotides) under uncultured eukaryote. Its description in RNAcentral is "SSU rRNA". It matches the Rfam family "Eukaryotic small subunit ribosomal RNA", at positions 587 to 972 of the family's 1831-position model. The record is from RNAcentral.
AGCUCCAAUAGCGUAUAUUAAAGUUGUUGCGGUUAAAAGCUCGUAGUUGGAUUUCUGUUGGAGACCGCCGGUCCGUUCUUUGAACGUGUAUCUGGUUUGACUCCGACAUCUUUGUGGAGUGCGUAGCUGUGCUUGAUUGCAUGGUGCGAAAUUCACAACAUUUACUUUGAGGAAAAUAGAGUGCUCACGGCAGGCAUAAGCCUUGUAUAUAUUAGCAUGGAAUAAUAGUGUAGGACUUUGGUUCUAUUUUAUUGGUUUCUAGAACUGAGGUAAUGUUAAACAGGGAUAGUUGGGGGCAUUUGUAUUAACGCGUCAGAGGUGGAAUUCUUGGAUUGCGUUACGACAACCUAAUGCGAAAGCAUUUGCCAAGGAUGUUUUCA